AAUGGGGGAAACCCUGACGCAGCAACGCCGCGUGAGGGAAGAAGGCUUUCGGGUUGUAAACCUCUUUUAGUGGGAAAGAAAAAAAUGACGGUACCCACAGAAAAAGCACCGGCUAACUACGUGCCAGCAGCCGCGGUAAUACGUAGGGUGCAAGCGUUAUUCGGAAUUAUUGGGCGUAAAGCGCGUGUAGGCGGUCUAGUUAGUCUAAUGUGAAAUCCCUCGACUCAAUCGAGGAACUGCAUCGGAUACUGCUAGACUAGAGUACAGGAGGGGUGAGCGGAAUUCCUGGUGUAGAGGUGAAAUUCGUAGAUAUCAGGAGGAACAACAGCGGCGAAGGCGGCUCACUGGACUGUAACUGACGCUCAGACGCGAAAGCGUGGGGAGCAAA
RNAcentral lists this ribosomal RNA (388 nucleotides) under uncultured bacterium. RNAcentral describes it as "bacterial SSU rRNA". It matches the Rfam family "Bacterial small subunit ribosomal RNA", at positions 370 to 772 of the family's 1533-position model. The record is from RNAcentral.